GUCGGGAAUUUUGGGCAAUGGGCGAAAGCCUGACCCAGCAACGCCGCGUGAAGGAUGAAGUCUUUCGGGAUGUAAACUUCGUAAGAAUAGGAAGAAUAAAUGACGGUACUAUUUGUAAGGUCCGGCUAACUACGUGCCAGCAGCCGCGGUAAUACGUAGGGACCAAGCGUUGUUCGGAUUUACUGGGCGUAAAGGGCGCGUAGGCGGCGUGACAAGUCAAUUGUGAAAUCUCCGGGCUUAACUCGGAACGGUCAAUUGAUACUGUUGUGCUAGAGUACAGAAGGGGCAAUCGGAAUUCUUGGUGUAGCGGUGAAAUGCGUAGAUAUCAAGAGGAACACCUGAGGUGAAGACGGGUUGCUGGGCUGAUACUGACGCUGAGGCGCGAAAGCUAGGGUAGCAAACGGGAUUAGAAACCCUGGUAGUCC
This 425-nucleotide ribosomal RNA is filed under the name uncultured bacterium. RNAcentral describes it as "bacterial SSU rRNA". It matches the Rfam family "Bacterial small subunit ribosomal RNA", at positions 354 to 796 of the family's 1533-position model. The record is from RNAcentral.